AUUGAACGCUGGCGGCAUGCCUUACACAUGCAAGUCGAACGGUAGAGUAGCAAUACUUGAGAGUGGCGAACGGGUGAGUAAUAUAUCGGAACGUGCCCAGUCGUGGGGGAUAACGUAGAGAAAUUUACGCUAAUACCGCAUACGAUCUAAGGAUGAAAGCGGGGGAUUCGCAAGAACCUCGCGCGAUUGGAGCGGCUGAUAUCAGAUUAGGUUGUUGGUGAGGUAAAAGCUCACCAAGCCGACGAUCUGUAGCUGGUUUGAGAGAACGACCAGCCACACUGGGACUGAGACACGGCCCAGACUCCUACGGGAGGCAGCAGUGGGGAAUUUUGGGACAAUGGGCGAAAGCCUGAUCCAGCAAUGCCGCGUGCAGGAA
RNAcentral lists this ribosomal RNA (376 nucleotides) under uncultured bacterium. RNAcentral describes it as "bacterial SSU rRNA". It matches the Rfam family "Bacterial small subunit ribosomal RNA", at positions 30 to 409 of the family's 1533-position model. The record is from RNAcentral.